This 253-nucleotide ribosomal RNA is filed under the name uncultured bacterium. RNAcentral's name for it is "partial 16S ribosomal RNA". It matches the Rfam family "Bacterial small subunit ribosomal RNA", at positions 524 to 776 of the family's 1533-position model. The record is from RNAcentral.
UACAGAGGGUGCUAGCGUUGUUCGGAAUUAUUGGGCGUAAAGCGCGUGUAGGCGGCCAAGCAAGUCGGGUGUGAAAGCCCUCAGCUUAACUGAGGAAGUGCGCCCGAAACUACAUGGCUUGAGUACCGGAGAGGGUGGCGGAAUUCCCGGUGUAGAGGUGAAAUUCGUAGAUAUCGGGAGGAACACCAGUGGCGAAGGCGGCCUCCUGGACGGCUACUGACGCUGAGACGCGAAAGCGUGGGGAGCAAACAGG